ACACACACACACACACACACACACACACACACACACACUAAAUUAUAUAGCACACUCCUCUUUUGAGAAGACAUUCUUCCUUCACCUAUGAAGAAGCAUGAGAGGGGGGGAAAUGACCAGAGCUACAUUUCAAAGUGUUUGCCUCUCUGUGUGUGUCUGGUGUGUGUGUGUGUGUGUGUGUGU
Podarcis lilfordi (Lilford's wall lizard) is the source of this 183-nucleotide non-coding RNA. The record is from the annotation of a GenBank genome assembly. Lineage: Eukaryota; Metazoa; Chordata; Lepidosauria; Squamata; Lacertidae.